AGUGAACGCUGGCGGUAGGCCUAACACAUGCAAGUCGAACGGCAGCACAGUAAGAGCUUGCUCUUACGGGUGGCGAGUGGCGGACGGGUGAGGAAUACAUCGGAAUCUACUUUUUCGUGGGGGAUAACGUAGGGAAACUUACGCUAAUACCGCAUACGACCUACGGGUGAAAGCAGGGGAUCUUCGGACCUUGCGCGAUUGAAUGAGCCGAUGUCGGAUUAGCUAGUUGGCGGGGUAAAGGCCCACCAAGGCGACGAUCCGUAGCUGGUCUGAGAGGAUGAUCAGCCACACUGGACCUGAGACACGGUCCAGACUCCUACGGGAGGCAGCAGUGGGGAAUAUUGGACAAUGGGCGCAAGCCUGAUCCAGCCAUACCGCGUGGGUGAAGAAGGCCUUCGGGUUGUAAAGCCCUUUUGUUGGGAAAGAAAAGCAGCAGGUUAAGACCCCGCUGUUCUGACGGUACCCAAAGAAUAAGCACCGGCUAACUUCGU
This 491-nucleotide ribosomal RNA is filed under the name uncultured bacterium. RNAcentral's name for it is "partial 16S ribosomal RNA". It matches the Rfam family "Bacterial small subunit ribosomal RNA", at positions 29 to 506 of the family's 1533-position model. The record is from RNAcentral.